GGCAAAAGCUCAAAUUUGAAAUCCCCCGGGAAUUGUAAUUUGAAGAGAUUUGGGUCCGGCCGGCGGGGGUUAAGUCCACUGGAAAGUGGCGCCACAGAGGGUGACAGCCCCGUGAACCCCUUCAACGCCCUCAUCCCAGAUCUCCAAGAGUCGAGUUGUUUGGGAAUGCAGCUCUAAGUGGGUGGUAAAUUCCAUCUAAAGCUAAAUACCGGCGAGAGACCGAUAGCGAACAAGUACAGUGAUGGAAAGAUGAAAAGCACUUUGAAAAGAGAGUGAAAAAGUACGUGAAAUUGUUGAAAGGGAAGGGCUUGCAAGCAGACACUUAACUGGGCCAGCAUCGGGGCGGCGGGAAACAAAACCACCGGGGAAUGUACCUUUCGAGGAUUAUAACCCCGGUCUUUAUUUCCUUGUUGCCCCGAGGCCUGCAAUCUAAGGAUGCUGGCGUAAUGGUUGCAAGUCGCCCGUCUU
This 468-nucleotide ribosomal RNA is filed under the name Metschnikowia aff. fructicola. Its description in RNAcentral is "partial large subunit ribosomal RNA". It matches the Rfam family "Eukaryotic large subunit ribosomal RNA", at positions 100 to 655 of the family's 3401-position model. Lineage: Eukaryota; Fungi; Ascomycota; Pichiomycetes; Serinales; Metschnikowiaceae. The record is from RNAcentral.